Molecule: long non-coding RNA, 1209 nt
Organism: Oncorhynchus tshawytscha (Chinook salmon)
Lineage: Eukaryota; Metazoa; Chordata; Actinopteri; Salmoniformes; Salmonidae
Source: Ensembl
CUUUGUUUGGUUGCAUAUUUUUGCACGACAAAGCUUUUCGUUUGUUGUGGGUUUUUUUUCUUUGCUGGUUCACAUUUUAAUAAAGUAUGAUGAACCCAAAUCACGCUGCGCCUUGGUCUCCCGUUACAAUUGAUGAGCUGCAUGAAUAGCCAAACAGAGCCGUGGGCUCAGAGCACUUUGGCUGCAGCUUGGCGGUGGGAGAAUGGCUUCCGUCCAGCUGAGAUAAUGGAAUUGGUGUGUUCUCCCUGGUAUGCGCUCCUGACUGGAGUCAGUUCUGUUAAUAGCAGGAGCUUCAACUCGCAGACCCCUACUCUGGCUUGGGCGGCACAUGGGGAGGAAAGAGGAGAGCAGUACAUGAGGCAGUGAGAGAUUUGGAAGCUGAUCUGAGGAUGUUCCCUGAUGUCUCAAGCUAGGCAUCUCCGGGUGCCAUAUGGCAACGGCUGUGUAUGGAAUAGAGAGAGUGUGGUAAACGGGCCACAUUAAACCGAGCUAUGUGUGACACUUCACAGCCAGAGUCUCCCUCCUCUUUGUAGUCAUUAUUGUAUGAAAGUGCUGACCAAAGCGAUUGCACCGCAGCCUGUGAUCUCAAACACUAGGACAUGUUCACCUGUCUUUUGUGGAUGAAAACAUUGACAUCUGCAAAAACAAAACCAGAAGUAAAAAGUCGGCUGUAUACGCAAGAAGGGGAACAGAGAUUAUUAGCGGUUGUGUUCGUUGUUAUGUUAUGUAGUUAUAUGCUCAGUCAUACAUUCUUCAUUUAAAUAAUACACACCCCAGGAAUAUAUUAUUGCAUGAAGAACAACACAUCACUAUUUUAAUGUUUAUUUUGCAUGUGACCUUCUGUGAAUAAUGGAUAUUGUUAAUGGAGCAAAAUAAUCUAACAUUGUUUCCACAUUAUAAUGACAAUAACUUUAAGAAAAUACUCAUAUAUACUUUCAUGGACAGUGCAUCUCAUUUCAUAAAGUGUACAUUGCUGCUGGCUCCGUACUGAAACUGAAGUGUACCACUUGAGAGUACUAAUCGCCUCCUAAGCAUGUCUGGUGAGUGUUUCUCUGUGCAUCAAUGUGCCUGGUGAUGGUCUGUCUAAUGUGAGUGCUAUGGCUAUGCCUGUGAGUCCCUCCUCACUACACUCAUCUGGUCGCUUCAUUGCACCCUAGGAAAUAUUUCAUGAUCUCUAAGUGACUAAAACACACUGUGAGCAUUUUUGAU